This 484-nucleotide ribosomal RNA is filed under the name uncultured bacterium. RNAcentral describes it as "partial 16S ribosomal RNA". It matches the Rfam family "Bacterial small subunit ribosomal RNA", at positions 30 to 507 of the family's 1533-position model. The record is from RNAcentral.
AUUGAACGCUGGCGGAAUGCUUUACACAUGCAAGUCGAACGGCAGCACGGGGGCAGCCCUGGUGGCGAGUGGCGAACGGGUGAGUAAUGCAUCGGAACGUGCCCGGUCGUGGGGGAUAACGUAGCGAAAGUUACGCUAAUACCGCAUACGAUCUGAGGAUGAAAGCGGGGGACCUUCGGGCCUCGCGCGAUCGGAGCGGCCGAUGUCAGAUUAGGUAGUUGGUGGGGUAAAGGCCUACCAAGCCGACGAUCUGUAGCUGGUCUGAGAGGACGACCAGCCACACUGGGACUGAGACACGGCCCAGACUCCUACGGGAGGCAGCAGUGGGGAAUUUUGGACAAUGGGCGCAAGCCUGAUCCAGCCAUUCCGCGUGCAGGACGAAGGCCUUCGGGUUGUAAACUGCUUUUGUACGGAACGAAAAGGCUCUGGCUAAUACCUGGGGCUCAUGACGGUACCGUAAGAAUAAGCACCGGCUAACUACGUG